This 815-nucleotide ribosomal RNA is filed under the name uncultured Oxalobacteraceae bacterium. RNAcentral describes it as "bacterial SSU rRNA". It matches the Rfam family "Bacterial small subunit ribosomal RNA", at positions 94 to 904 of the family's 1533-position model. Lineage: Bacteria; Pseudomonadati; Pseudomonadota; Betaproteobacteria; Burkholderiales; Oxalobacteraceae. The record is from RNAcentral.
AGUGGCGAACGGGUGAGUAAUAUAUCGGAAUGUACCCUAGAGUGGGGGAUAACGUAGCGAAAGUUACGCUAAUACCGCAUACGAUCUGAGGAUGAAAGUGGGGGAUGCGCAAGCACCUCAUGCUCAUGGAGCAGCCGAUAUCUGAUUAGCUAGUUGGUAGGGUAAAAGCCUACCAAGGCUACGAUCAGUAGCUGGUUUGAGAGAACGACCAGCCACACUGGAACUGAGACACGGUCCAGACUCCUACGGGAGGCAGCAGUGGGGAAUUUUGGACAAUGGGCGCAAGCCUGAUCCAGCAAUGCCGCGUGAGUGAAGAAGGCCUUCGGGUUGUAAAGCUCUUUUGUCAGGGAAGAAAAGCUAUCCUCUAAUACAGGGUGGUCAUGACGGUACCUGAAGAAUAAGCACCGGCUAACUACGUGCCAGCAGCCGCGGUAAUACGUAGGGUGCAAGCGUUAAUCGGAAUUACUGGGCGUAAAGCGUGCGCAGGCGGUUAUAUAAGUCAGCUGUGAAAUCCCCGGGCUCAACCUGGGAACUGCAGUUGAGACUGUAUGGCUAGAGUGUGUCAGAGGGGGGUAGAAUUCCACGUGUAGCAGUGAAAUGCGUAGAUAUGUGGAGGAAUACCGAUGGCGAAGGCAGCCCCCUGGGAUAACACUGACGCUCAUGCACGAAAGCGUGGGGAGCAAACAGGAUUAGAUACCCUGGUAGUCCACGCCCUAAACGAUGUCUACUAGUUGUUGGGUCUUAAUUGACUUAGUAACGCAGCUAACGCGUGAAGUAGACCGCCUGGGGAGUACGGUCGCAAGAUUAAAACUCAA